GGGCCCAUAGCUCAGUUGGUCAGAGCUGGGGACUCAUAAUCCCUAGGUCGCUGGUUCGAGUCCAGCUGGGCCCA
This 74-nucleotide transfer RNA is filed under the name Lentisphaerota bacterium. RNAcentral's name for it is "Lentisphaerae bacterium (aquatic metagenome) tRNA-Ile". It matches the Rfam family "tRNA". Rfam says of the family: Transfer RNA (tRNA) molecules are approximately 80 nucleotides in length. Their secondary structure includes four short double-helical elements and three loops (D, anti-codon, and T loops). Further hydrogen bonds mediate the characteristic L-shaped molecular structure. tRNAs have two regions of fundamental functional importance: the anti-codon, which is responsible for specific mRNA codon recognition, and the 3' end, to which the tRNAs corresponding amino acid is attached (by aminoacyl-tRNA synthetases). tRNAs cope with the degeneracy of the genetic code in two manners: having more than one tRNA (with a specific anti-codon) for a particular amino acid; and 'wobble' base-pairing, i.e. permitting non-standard base-pairing at the 3rd anti-codon position. Lineage: Bacteria; Pseudomonadati; Lentisphaerota. The record is from RNAcentral. RNAcentral also lists the same sequence under 3 other names.